GCAGUCGAACGGCAGCGCGGGAGCAAUCCUGGCGGCGAGUGGCGAACGGGUGAGUAAUAUAUCGGAACGUGCCCAGUAGUGGGGGAUAGCCCGGCGAAAGCCGGAUUAAUACCGCAUACGACCUAAGGGUGAAAGGGGGGGAUUCGCAAGAACCUCUCGCUAUUGGAGCGGCCGAUAUCAGAUUAGGUAGUUGGUGGGGUAAAAGCCUACCAAGCCUGCGAUCUGUAGUUGGUCUGAGAGGACGACCAGCCACACUGGGACUGAGACACGGCCCAGACUCCUACGGGAGGCAGCAGUGGGGAAUUUUGGACAAUGGGCGCAAGCCUGAUCCAGCAAUGCCGCGUGCAGGAAGAAGGCCUUCGGGUCGUAAACUGCUUUUGUCAGGGAAGAAAUCCUCUGGGUUAAUACCUCGGGGGGAUGACGGUACCUGAAGAAUAAGCACCGGCUAACUACGUGCCAGCAGCCGCGGUAAUACGUAGGGUGCGAGCGUUAAUCGGAAUUACUGGGCGUAAAGCGUGCGCAGGCGGUUGUGCAGGACAGGUGUGAAAUCCCCGGGCUUAACCUGGGAACUGCACUUGUGACUGCACAGCUAGAGUACGGUAGAGGGGGAUGGAAUUCCGCGUGUAGCAGUGAAAUGCGUAGAUAUGCGGAGGAACACCGAUGGCGAAGGCAAUCCCCUGGACCUGUACUGACGCUCAUGCACG
This 704-nucleotide ribosomal RNA is filed under the name uncultured bacterium. Its description in RNAcentral is "bacterial SSU rRNA". It matches the Rfam family "Bacterial small subunit ribosomal RNA", at positions 57 to 755 of the family's 1533-position model. The record is from RNAcentral.